UACGUAAGGUGCGAGCGUUAUCCGGAAUUACUGGGCGUAAAGGGUGCGUAGGCGGUUAUGCAAGUUGGAGGUGAAAGCCUAUAGCUCAACCGUAGUAAGCCUUUGAAACUGGUCGUCUUGAGGUAUGGAGAGGAAAGUGGAAUUCCUAGUGUAGCGGUGAAAUGCGCAGAUAUUGGGAGGAAUACCGGUGGCGAAGGCGACUUUCUGGCCAUAAACUGACGCUGAGGUACGAAAGCGUGGGUAGCAAACAGG
This 252-nucleotide ribosomal RNA is filed under the name uncultured bacterium. RNAcentral describes it as "partial 16S ribosomal RNA". It matches the Rfam family "Bacterial small subunit ribosomal RNA", at positions 524 to 776 of the family's 1533-position model. The record is from RNAcentral.